AUUGAACGCUGGCGGCGUGCUUAACACAUGCAAGUCGAGCGGCAGCGGGCCCGCAAGGGUGCCGGCGAGCGGCGGACGGGUGAGCAAUACAUAGGAAUCUGCCUCAGAGCGGGGGAUAGCCAGGGGAAACCCUGAUUAAUACCGCAUGACGUCGAGAGACCAAAGUGGGGGAUCGUAAGACCUCACACUCUGAGAUGAGCCUACGUCGGAUUAGCAGUUGGCGGGGUAACGGCCCACCAAGGCGACGAUCCGUAGCUGGUCUGAGAGGACGAUCAGCCACACCGGAACUGAGACACGGUCCAGACUCCUACGGAGGCAGCAGUGGGAAUUUUGGACAAUGGGGGCAACCCUGAUCCAGCCAUUCCGCGUGAGUGAAGAAGGCCUGGU
Molecule: ribosomal RNA, 387 nt
Filed under: uncultured bacterium
Lineage: Bacteria
Description: bacterial SSU rRNA
Rfam family: Bacterial small subunit ribosomal RNA
Source: RNAcentral